AUAUGCUUGUCUCAAAGAUUAAGCCAUGCAUGUCUCAGUACAAGCCACAUUAAGGUGAAACCGCGAAAGGCUCAUUAAAUCAGUUAUGGUUCCUUAGAUCGUACCCACAUUUACUUGGAUAACUGUGGUAAUUCUAGAGCUAAUACAUGCAAACAGAGUUCCGACCGGAGACGGGAGGAAUGCUUUUAUUAGAUCAAAACCAAUCGGCGGCGGGUGCGCUCGCGCGCCCGUUCGCCGCUCAACCUGGUGACUCUGAAUAACUUUCGGCUGAUCGCACGGUCCAGCACCGGCGACGCAUCUUUCAAAUGUCUGCCUUAUCAACUGUCGAUGGUAGGUUCUGCGCCUACCAUGGUCGUAACGGGUAACGGGGAAUCAGGGUUCGAUUCCGGAGAGGGAGCCUGAGAAACGGCUACCACAUCCAAGGAAGGCAGCAGGCGCGCAAAUUACCCACUCCCGGCACGGGGAGGUAGUGACGAAAAAUAACGAUACGGGACUCAUCCGAGGCCCCGUAAUCGGAAUGAGUACACUUUAAAUCCUUUAACGAGGAUCAAUUGGAGGGCAAGUCUGGUGCCAGCAGCCGCGGUAAUUCCAGCUCCAAUAGCGUAUAUU
RNAcentral lists this ribosomal RNA (609 nucleotides) under Copelatus sp. MB0206. RNAcentral's name for it is "SSU rRNA". It matches the Rfam family "Eukaryotic small subunit ribosomal RNA", at positions 26 to 605 of the family's 1831-position model. RNAcentral also lists the same sequence under 1 other name. The record is from RNAcentral. Lineage: Eukaryota; Metazoa; Arthropoda; Insecta; Coleoptera; Dytiscidae.